Molecule: ribosomal RNA, 253 nt
Filed under: uncultured bacterium
Lineage: Bacteria
Description: partial 16S ribosomal RNA
Rfam family: Bacterial small subunit ribosomal RNA
Source: RNAcentral
UACAGAGGUGGCAAGCGUUGUUCGGAAUUACUGGGCGUAAAGGGCGCGUAGGUGGCCUUCUUAGUCAGACGUGAAAUCCCCGGGCUCAACCCGGGAACUGCGUCCGAUACUGGAAGGCUUGAAUCCGGGAGAGGGAUGCGGAAUUCCAGGUGUAGCGGUGAAAUGCGUAGAUAUCUGGAGGAACACCGGUGGCGAAGGCGGCAUCCUGGACCGGCAUUGACGCUGAGGCGCGAAAGCCAGGGGAGCAAACGGG